Molecule: ribosomal RNA, 1135 nt
Filed under: Vibrio natriegens
Lineage: Bacteria; Pseudomonadati; Pseudomonadota; Gammaproteobacteria; Vibrionales; Vibrionaceae
Description: bacterial SSU rRNA
Rfam family: Bacterial small subunit ribosomal RNA
Source: RNAcentral
CCUUUCGGGGCCUCUUCCGGGUCAGGAAUAGGCCCAGGUUGGGUUUAGCUAGUUGGUGACGUAAGGGUUCACCCAGGCGGACGAUCCCUAGGUGGUUUGAGAGGAUGUCCAGCCACACCGGAACUGAGACACGGUCCAGACUCCUACGGGAGGCAGCAGUGGGGAAUAUUGCACAAUGGGCGCAAGCCUGAUGCAGCCAUGCCGGGGUGUGUGAAGAAGGCCUUUCGGGUUGUAAAGCACUUUCAGUCGUGAGGAAGGUAGUGUGUUUAAUAGAUGCAUUAUUUGACGUUAGCGACAGAAGAAGCACCGGCUAACUCCGUGCCAGCAGCCGCGGUAAUACGGAGGGUGCGAGCGUUAAUCGGAAUUACUGGGCGUAAAGCGCAUGCAGGUGGUGUGUUAAGUCAGAUGUGAAAGCCCGGGGCUCAACCUCGGAAUUGCAUUUGAAACUGGCAGACUAGAGUACUGUAGAGGGGGGUAGAAUUUCAGGUGUAGCGGUGAAAUGCGUAGAGAUCUGAAGGAAUACCGGUGGCGAAGGCGGCCCCCUGGACAGAUACUGACACUCAGAUGCGAAAGCGUGGGGAGCAAACAGGAUUAGAUACCCUGGUAGUCCACGCCGUAAACGAUGUCUACUUGGAGGUUGUGGCCUUGAGCCGUGGCUUUCGGAGCUAACGCGUUAAGUAGACCGCCUGGGGAGUACGGUCGCAAGAUUAAAACUCAAAUGAAUUGACGGGGGCCCGCACAAGCGGUGGAGCAUGUGGUUUAAUUCGAUGCAACGCGAAGAACCUUACCUACUCUUGACAUCCAGAGAACUUUCCAGAGAUGGAUUGGUGCCUUCGGGAACUCUGAGACAGGUGCUGCAUGGCUGUCGUCAGCUCGUGUUGUGAAAUGUUGGGUUAAGUCCCGCAACGAGCGCAACCCUUAUCCUUGUUUGCCAGCGAGUCAUGUCGGGAACUCCAGGGAGACUGCCGGUGAUAAACCGGAGGAAGGUGGGGACGACGUCAAGUCAUCAUGGCCCUUACGAGUAGGGCUACACACGUGCUACAAUGGCGCAUACAGAGGGCGGCCAACUUGCGAAAGUGAGCGAAUCCCAAAAAGUGCGUCGUAGUCCGGAUUGGAGUCUGCAACUCGACUCCAU